This 525-nucleotide long non-coding RNA is filed under the name Coturnix japonica (Japanese quail). Its description in RNAcentral is "lncRNA (ENSCJPG00005014761.1)". Lineage: Eukaryota; Metazoa; Chordata; Aves; Galliformes; Phasianidae. The record is from RNAcentral.
CAAGCACCUCCCUACAAAAAAAGAGUUGAAAGGGAAGAACUGGAGUGCACCAUACUCGGAAGCAUGUGUAGCUUUUAGCUUUCUCAGACAAGGAAGAAAACCAAAUGAAAACACCAUAUAAAGUGCUCAAAUUUUAAGCACAGGCAACAAUGGCCAGCAUCUACCCCACAUUUAUCAUGUUUAGAUAUCGCUGAGUUGUUACAUCCUUUGUUCCAACUCCUCUAUAAGCAAUAACCCUUAACAUCCUAAUUUGCCUCUACUUCUUCUAACCUUCUAUUUCCAGUUCUCUCAGAGCAGGAGGAAGCUCCCACAUUCCUGUAUUUCUUUGAAAGGUUAAAUGCAAGUUUUCAGAUACCAAGUGUCACCUACUGACAUCUGCAGUGUAUUCCUCCUGGAACCUUUAUUAUUGCUGCUGUUAUCUCCUAUACAGUAUCACCAGGGUGGUUUUGGUAUGUGUAGUUAACUUAUGACCCCGUUCUUGGACUCCCCUUGCAAACUUGAAGUCAAUCAGCAUAAAAUCCUGAG